This 104-nucleotide small nuclear RNA is filed under the name Catagonus wagneri (Chacoan peccary). The record is from RNAcentral. Lineage: Eukaryota; Metazoa; Chordata; Mammalia; Artiodactyla; Tayassuidae.
GUGCUUGCUUUGGCAGCACAUAUACUAAAAUUGGAAUGAUACAGAGAAGACUAGCAUGGCCCCUGAGCGAAGAUGACAUACAAAUUUGUGAAAGAUAUUUCUUU